GCAACAACCCAGCAGCAGGACCACUACCUCUGCCCUUGUGCAAGGAGGAGCACUGCCAGAGCCCUGCAAAAUGACCUCCAGCAGGCCACAAAUUUGUAUUUAUUUAUUUUACCUUUAUUUAACUAGGCAAAUCAGUUAAGAACAAAUUCUUAUUUUCAAUGACGGCCUAGGAACAGUGGGUUAACUGCCUGUUCAGGGACAGAACGACAGAUUUGUACCUUGUCAGCUCGGGGGUUUGAACUUGCAACCUUCCGGUUACUAGUCCAACGCUCUAACCACUAGGCUACCCUGCCGCCCCAUAGA
This is a long non-coding RNA of Oncorhynchus keta (chum salmon), 303 nucleotides long. RefSeq lists it as uncharacterized. The record is from RefSeq and is a predicted model, not a curated record. NCBI's taxonomy places the organism in Eukaryota, Metazoa, Chordata, Actinopteri, Salmoniformes, Salmonidae. The transcript is spliced from 2 exons.